GAUGAACGCUGGCGGCGUGCCUAAUACAUGCAAGUCGAGCGAACAGACGAGGUGCUUGCUCCUCUGACGUUAGCGGCGGACGGGUGAGUAACACGUGGAUAACCUACCUAUAAGACUGGGAUAACUUCGGGAAACCGGAGCUAAUACCGUAUAAUAUAUUGAACCGCAUGGUUCAAUAGUGAAAGACGGUUUUGCUGUCACUUAUAGAUGGAUCCGCGCCGCAUUAGAUAGUUGGUAAGGUAACGGCUUACCAAGGCAACGAUGCGUAGCCGACCUGAGAGGGUGAUCGGCCACACUGGAACUGAGACACGGUCCAGACUCCUACGGGAGGCAGCAGUAGGGAAUCUUCCGCAAAGGGCGAAAGCUUGACGGAGCAACGCCGCGUGAGUGAUGAAGGUCUUCGGAUCGUAAAACUCUGUUAUUAGGGAAGAACAAAUGUGUAAGUAACUAUGCACGUCUUGACGGUACCUAAUCAGAAAGCCACGGCUAACUACGUG
Molecule: ribosomal RNA, 497 nt
Filed under: uncultured bacterium
Lineage: Bacteria
Description: partial 16S ribosomal RNA
Rfam family: Bacterial small subunit ribosomal RNA
Source: RNAcentral